This 906-nucleotide ribosomal RNA is filed under the name Salmonella enterica. RNAcentral's name for it is "partial 23S ribosomal RNA". It matches the Rfam family "Bacterial large subunit ribosomal RNA", at positions 1252 to 2141 of the family's 2925-position model. Lineage: Bacteria; Pseudomonadati; Pseudomonadota; Gammaproteobacteria; Enterobacterales; Enterobacteriaceae. The record is from RNAcentral. RNAcentral also lists the same sequence under 1 other name.
GAAGGUGUGUCGUGAGGCAUGCUGGAGGUAUCAGAAGUGCGAAUGCUGACAUAAGUAACGAUAAAGCGGGUGAAAAGCCCGCUCGCCGGAAGACCAAGGGUUCCUGUCCAACGUUAAUCGGGGCAGGGUGAGUCGACCCCUAAGGCGAGGCCGAAAGGCGUAGUCGAUGGGAAACGGGUUAAUAUUCCCGUACUUGGUGUUACUGCGAAGGGGGGACGGAGAAGGCUAUGUUGGCCGGGCGACGGUUGUCCCGGUUUAAGCGUGUAGGUGUGUGUUCCAGGUAAAUCCGGUUCACUUUAACACUGAGGCGUGACGACGAGGCACUACGGUGCUGAAGCAACAAAUGCCCUGCUUCCAGGAAAAGCCUCUAAGCAUCAGGUAACAUCAAAUCGUACCCCAAACCGACACAGGUGGUCAGGUAGAGAAUACCAAGGCGCUUGAGAGAACUCGGGUGAAGGAACUAGGCAAAAUGGUGCCGUAACUUCGGGAGAAGGCACGCUGACACGUAGGUGAAGUGAUUUACUCAUGGAGCUGAAGUCAGUCGAAGAUACCAGCUGGCUGCAACUGUUUAUUAAAAACACAGCACUGUGCAAACACGAAAGUGGACGUAUACGGUGUGACGCCUGCCCGGUGCCGGAAGGUUAAUUGAUGGGGUCAGCGCAAGCGAAGCUCCUGAUCGAAGCCCCGGUAAACGGCGGCCGUAACUAUAACGGUCCUAAGGUAGCGAAAUUCCUUGUCGGGUAAGUUCCGACCUGCACGAAUGGCGUAAUGAUGGCCAGGCUGUCUCCACCCGAGACUCAGUGAAAUUGAACUCGCUGUGAAGAUGCAGUGUACCCGCGGCAAGACGGAAAGACCCCGUGAACCUUUACUAUAGCUUGACACUGAACAUUGAGCCUUGAUGUGUAG